UAGGGAAUCUUCCGCAAUGGACGCAAGUCUGACGGAGCAACGCCGCGUGAGUGAAGAAGGAUCUCGGUUCGUAAAACUCUGUUGUUAGAGAAGAACAGCGCAUAGAGUAACUGUUAUGCGUGUGACGGUAUCUAACCAGAAAGCCACGGCUAACUACGUGCCAGCAGCCGCGGUAAUACGUAGGUGGCAAGCGUUGUCCGGAUUUAUUGGGCGUAAAGCGAGCGCAGGCGGUCAAUUAAGUCUGAUGUGAAAGCCCCCGGCUCAACCGGGGAGGGUCAUUGGAAACUGGUUGGCUUGAGUGCAGAAGAGGAGAGUGGAAUUCCAUGUGUAGCGGUGAAAUGCGUAGAUAUAUGGAGGAACACCAGGGGCGAAGGCGACUCUCUGGUCUGUAACUGACGCUGAGGCUCGAAAGCGUGGGUAGCAAACAGG
RNAcentral lists this ribosomal RNA (429 nucleotides) under Bacteroidota bacterium. RNAcentral's name for it is "Bacteroidetes bacterium partial 16S ribosomal RNA". It matches the Rfam family "Bacterial small subunit ribosomal RNA", at positions 355 to 776 of the family's 1533-position model. The record is from RNAcentral. Lineage: Bacteria; Pseudomonadati; Bacteroidota.